Dioscorea cayenensis subsp. rotundata (Guinea yam) is the source of this 162-nucleotide long non-coding RNA. RefSeq lists it as uncharacterized. Lineage: Eukaryota; Viridiplantae; Streptophyta; Magnoliopsida; Dioscoreales; Dioscoreaceae. The record is from RefSeq and is a predicted model, not a curated record. The transcript has 3 exons.
UUUUCAUAUAUCUCUCUGUUGCCAUUGGAGGAGCUGGAAGGAAGAGGAACAUCGGUGACGAUUGGAGCUCGGAGGAGGAAGGGAAGCAUCAGCGUGAACUGGCGGAUUAGAGGUGGUACUAUCGGAGGCUGUCAGUUGGAUGCUUGCAUUAUAGCAUUUUUG